RNAcentral lists this long non-coding RNA (319 nucleotides) under Vulpes vulpes (red fox). RNAcentral's name for it is "lncRNA (ENSVVUG00000022565.1)". Lineage: Eukaryota; Metazoa; Chordata; Mammalia; Carnivora; Canidae. The record is from RNAcentral.
GUGGCAUGACUUUAGUCGAUGGGACAACACAAAUGUUACAAAGCUUGAUGAAGCACUGAUAUAUUUCUUUCUCCUUUCUCAGACCCUGCUAAAUUUGGAGGGCACUUCAUUACACAGCAAUGGCUAACUGAUAUACCAGGUAUUUUUAUGUCCCUGGGAUUUUGGGAGACCUGUACAGGUUCGUAUAUGUAUCUCUGGUAGAUGAUGCAAUCUGGGACUUCCUGAAGCAAGAUUCUACUUUAUUGGAAGGGCUUUUCAGAUGAGAAUGAGAGAGCACCAUGAAUUUCCUUGCAUAAGGAGUGAAUUUCUUCCAUUAAAA